Molecule: ribosomal RNA, 838 nt
Filed under: Conlarium aquaticum
Lineage: Eukaryota; Fungi; Ascomycota; Sordariomycetes; Conlariaceae
Description: partial large subunit ribosomal RNA
Rfam family: Eukaryotic large subunit ribosomal RNA
Source: RNAcentral
CAACAGGGAUUGCCCUAGUAACGGCGAGUGAAGCGGCAACAGCUCAAAUUUGAAAUCUGGCUUCGGCCCGAGUUGUAAUUUGUAGAGGAUGCUUUUGGUGCGGUGCCUUCUGAGUUCCCUGGAACGGGACGCCACAGAGGGUGAGAGCCCCGUAUAGUCGGACACCAAGCCUCUGUAAAGCUCCUUCGACGAGUCGAGUAGUUUGGGAAUGCUGCUCAAAAUGGGAGGUAAAUGCCUUCUAAAGCUAAAUACUGGCCAGAGACCGAUAGCGCACAAGUAGAGUGAUCGAAAGAUGAAAAGCACUUUGAAAAGAGGGUUAAACAGCACGUGAAAUUGUUGAAAGGGAAGCGCUUGUGACCAGACUUGCGCCAGGUGGAUCAUCCAGCGUUCUCGCUGGUGCACUCUGCCUGGUUCAGGCCAGCAUCGGUUUUCUCAGUGGGAUAAAGGCUCUGGGAAUGUAGCUCCUCCGGGAGUGUUAUAGCCCGUUGCACAAUACCUCUGAGGGGACCGAGGUUCGCGCUCUGCAAGGAUGCUGGCGUAAUGGUCAUCAGCGGCCCGUCUUGAAACACGGACCAAGGAGUCAAGCAUUAGGGCGAGUGUUUGGGUGCAAAACCCGCACGCGUAAUGAAAGUGAACGUAGGUGAGAGCUUCGGCGCAUCAUCGACCGAUCCUGAUGUAUUCGGAUGGAUUUGAGUAAGAGCCUUACCGCUUGGACCCGAAAGAUGGUGAACUAUGCUUGUAUAGGGUGAAGCCAGAGGAAACUCUGGUGGAGGCUCGCAGCGGUUCUGACGUGCAAAUCGAUCGUCAAAUAUGAGCAUGGGGGCGAAAGACUAAUCGA